ACAUAUAUUUAUACCUAUUAUUGUAUUGGUCAUACUAUACAAUGAUUCAUAGCUUGUCUUUGUUGAAAACUACAGAACAUAAAGAGCAUUAAAAAAUAAUUGGAUUUAAAUCGCAAUAUUGGUAAAAAAAAUAAAUAAAUAAAGCGCAAUUAGAUUAUUUUCCAAAAUUCUUCAGGUCACGAUCACUUUAAAACAAUCAGUUAAAUAUAUUUUACCCGGAUCAGUCACAAAAACACUGUUUUGUAUGUUUUUUAAAGCCUUUUGUUUUUCAGGGACACAGGAAGUGACCUCAUAAACCAUGUUUACAUUGUAGUACCCAGAGCCAUAUAGAGUGAGAGUUGCGACAACUCCAUUGACUCCAAUGGAACGCUUUUUUUUACAGCAAUGGCGGCUCGUGGAGCCUCUCAAUAGUUCCCGGAAGUAGCGGCAAACCGAUGCCGCGCCGUAGAAGAUGCAGCAGAACAAACCGUUUGCGACGCACUUUUAACAGGUGGAGGAUUAGUGGUGCCACUGAAGUGUUCUGUGAUGGAGCAUCAGUGAGGAUGCAGACCCUGGUAACUGGCUGAUGGUUCACAGGAAUGCUGACUGGCUGCUGACUGACUUGCUGCUGGUUGACUGGGCAGUGUCACCUGUC
This 634-nucleotide long non-coding RNA is filed under the name Carassius auratus (goldfish). RNAcentral's name for it is "lncRNA (ENSCARG00000032276.1)". Lineage: Eukaryota; Metazoa; Chordata; Actinopteri; Cypriniformes; Cyprinidae. The record is from RNAcentral.